GAGUCGGAUGACUCUGUCUGCCAGUCGACCAUGCAAAAGAGGUUUUAAGACGUCAUAAAAAAUUGAGCUCACUUGAGACCACCAAGCAUAAACAAGGCUGCACAGAACCUGGAUGCCAUUUGCAAGAAUCAGUGACUCACAAAUCCUACUGUGAUACAAAUGGGUUGGACAGGGAGAGAAAAGAUGGUAGUGUGCGCUGUCCUGGCCGUUGUCGCUGCCCAUUACGCCCUCCCUACAACAGCCUGGCCUACUCGGUACAACCGGAAGCCGCCAGAUACUGGACCAACUUGGCCGCCCCCUAUACCAAAUACGCUGCUGCCCUCUAUAACGGUUUCUCUGCCAGCGCCCCGGCCAGCGCCCGCCUCCAGGACAACGGCAUCAGUACCAAGUUCGACGGCAAAAUCCCCGUCUUUCCUUCGUCGGCUCCUUUAGUUACGUGGACCUCAAUGGUGUGAAACAAACGGUCGACUACAUUGUGGACGAGUCCCGCUACCGUGUGUCUGGCACCAACCUGCCGGCGGCUGCCGUCACCGACGUGAAGACGCCCGCCGACGCUGCUGCUACCAGGAGUGGCUACCACAAGAAACGCAUUGCUCUGCCGAUCGGCGUUACCCCUGAGGU
Long non-coding RNA from Pollicipes pollicipes, 621 nucleotides. RefSeq lists it as uncharacterized. The record is from RefSeq and is a predicted model, not a curated record. The transcript is spliced from 3 exons. Lineage: Eukaryota; Metazoa; Arthropoda; Thecostraca; Pollicipedomorpha; Pollicipedidae.